RNAcentral lists this ribosomal RNA (1408 nucleotides) under uncultured Catonella sp. Its description in RNAcentral is "Bacterial small subunit ribosomal RNA". It matches the Rfam family "Bacterial small subunit ribosomal RNA". The record is from RNAcentral. Lineage: Bacteria; Bacillati; Bacillota; Clostridia; Lachnospirales; Lachnospiraceae.
AUGAGAGUUUGAUCCUGGCUCAGGAUGAACGCGUGGCGAGCACUUAACACAUGCAAGUCGAACGGAUUACAGACGGAGUUUUCGGAUGGAAGGCUGUAAUUCUUAGUGGCGGACGGGUGAGUAACGCGUGGGCAACCUGCCCUGGUACAGGAUGGCGUGGAAACGGCUGGUAGACCGCAUAAGUCGGCGAGACGCAUGCGGUUUUGUCCGACGAAAUCAGCAACCGAUAUGAGAAUGGGCCUGCGCGUCGAUCAGCGGGUUGGCGGGGUAAACCACCGAAGCAGCGAUCGGUAGACACGAGAGGUCGGACGGCCACAUUGGGACUGAGAACGCCCAACUCUCGGGAGGCAGCGGUGGAUACUGCAAUCGAACUCAGAUGCGGCGACGCCGUGCGUGAAGAGUGACUGGUACACAGCUCUAUCAGCAGGGAGAUGAUGAUGGUACCUGACAGGCUGACUACGACUCAGCAGCCGCGUGUCGUGAGGGGCAAGCGUAUCGGAUUUACUGGGUGCCAGGGAGCGCAGGCGGUUUGCGUGGCAAGUUGAGCAGUGAGGCUCAACCUGGCUGCUCUCAAAACUGUCAAACGAGUAUGGAGAGGAGAUUCCUAAUGUGGUAGAAAUGCUUAGAUAUUAGGAAGAACACCCAGGUGGCGAAGGCCUGCUAGACAAACUGAGCAGCUGAAACCAGCGUCGGGUGCAAACAGGUUAGAUACCUGCUGGUCCACGUAACGAUGAAUGCUGACAAGCCUGUACGAUUGCCGCCUAGACGCCUGGCUAUUCCACCUGGGGAUGGAUUCGCAGAAUGAAACUCAAAGGAUGACAGUGGAUUGCAAGCGGUGGGCAGCAUGUGGUUUAAUUUGCACAACGCACAGGCUCACCCGGUCUUGAAUCCUCCACGAAUACGAUAGCUGUAGUCCUUCCGGGGACAGGAGAGACAGAGUGGUGCAUCGUGGCUCAUGUGUCGUGAGAUGUUGGGUUAGAGUCCCGCAACGAGCGCAACCCCGUCUUUCAUGUAGCCAACGGCUGACCCUCUGGGCCAGCACUGCCAGGGGAUAACUCGGAGGAAGGCGGGCGAUGGCGUCAAAUCAUCAGCCCCUUGCACCAGGGAGCUACCGUGCUACAAUGGCAGUUACAGAGGGGAAGCGAAGGCGCGAGCCGGGCAAAUCCCAGCUGCCUCAGUUCAGUUGUGGUCACAACUCGACACAGGAAGCUGGAAUCGCUGGCGAUCGCGAAUCAGAAUGUCGCGGUGAAUACGUUCGGUCUUGUACACACCGCCCGUCACACCAUGGGGUCGGAAAUGCCCGAGGUCAGUGGCUCAACCGCACGGGAGGGCGCGAGGCAGGUCUGUGACUGGGGAGAAUCGAUCAAGGCCAGCGGCGUAUCGGAAGGUGCGGCUGGAUCACCCUCUU